GACCAUUUGUACCCAACAGAAUUCCUGAAUAGCUUGAAGUGCCCUGGAAUACCAGAUCACGAAAUACGGCUGAAAGUUGGACUGCCAGUUAUGCUGCUACGGAAUAUCAACCAAAGCGAGGGCUUAUGCAAUGGUACGAGACUAACUAUAACACAACUAGGUAAAUGGUUCAUAGAAGCUCAGAUAAUAACAGGGACAAACAUUGGAAACAAGGUAUAUAUUCCAAGGAUUAUUAUGUCACCAAGUGACUCAAAAUGGCCGUUUGUGUUGAAAAGGAGGCAGUACCCAAUAUCAGUUUGUUUUGCGAUGACGAUAAAUAAGAGUCAAGGGCAGUCUCUAAAACAUGUG
RNAcentral lists this ribosomal RNA (348 nucleotides) under Triticum aestivum (bread wheat). RNAcentral describes it as "partial small subunit ribosomal RNA". Lineage: Eukaryota; Viridiplantae; Streptophyta; Magnoliopsida; Poales; Poaceae. The record is from RNAcentral.